This 252-nucleotide ribosomal RNA is filed under the name uncultured bacterium. RNAcentral's name for it is "partial 16S ribosomal RNA". It matches the Rfam family "Bacterial small subunit ribosomal RNA", at positions 524 to 776 of the family's 1533-position model. The record is from RNAcentral.
UACGUAGGGGGCAAGCGUUGUCCGGAGUACUGGGCGUAAAGCGCACGCAGGCGGUCUUUUAAGUUUGGAGUGACAGUUGGUGGCUUAACUGCCAAAGUGCUUCGAAAACUGACAGACUUGAGGGCUUCAGAGGGACACGGAAUUCCGGGUGGAGUGGUGAAAUGCGUAGAGAUCGGAAAGAACACCAACGGCGAAAGCACUCUGCUGGGCCGACACUGACACUGAGAGACGAAAGCUAGGGGAGCGAAUGGG